UAAGCCAUCUGAAUGCUGCCUGAAAGAGUAUUCAGUCAUAAAGUUGUAUUCUUUGCUAAUUCAGACAGCACCCUUUCAGUUGGUAUUGGGUGGAAAGAAAUAUCAAUCAUCUCAGUCUACAUGUAUAGCGGCAUUCUGAUCAAUCAGUGAUGGUUGGGAUUUAUAUCAUCAAAGGACGUCAACUGGCAGCUUUCAGGGCUUUCUCAUUCAUACGUGACGCUGGUGUAGUUGAGCUGGGAUCUUGUGGAAGGAGGAAAACAGGAAAAAGCUUCUGAUGAAUAUUACCCGGAGAAACGGUCGUGGUAGGUGAAUGGACUUGGGGGUCAGAAGCAGGUGAAGGUAAAGAUGCAUUUAAAAGAUGGAUUAUGAGAGUGAGGAUAGUAUAGAUCAGAGGAAUUGAUGAUGACUGUGGUAUUUGUUAUGCCCUUACUAGGUGCCAUGCGCUGGUAUAUAUACAAAAUCAUGUGGGACACAGUCCCAGUUCCAGUCAGAAGGAAACCAGGUAUUAAAUCUUCAUUUUACUAAUGAGCAAACUGAGCCACAGACAAAUGAAGUGACUUGCCCAAGGUCACACAGGAGGCAAGUGGCAGUCAGGAUUGGAACCCUGGUCCUCCAGCUCCCUGCUUUCAACAAACUACUUAAAGGACUGAUGACAAGAAGGAUCAAGGUUAUUUCCAGAGAGUUCCACGAGCUGGAUUGUGGGCCAUCUGUUUGACAUCGCUGACUUGGAGCAUGAGGAUCAGGAAAAACGAUAUUAGACCCGGUGACCUGUGGAGAGAAGAGAAAAGGUAUUUAGGUUAUGUCUGGACAAGGCUGAGCUAUGAAACAAGGUUCUGUAGUCCGGAAAGAACAGAGCUCCACACUUUUGCAGACACUUUUGCAGAGGCUAAGAUUACAAGCAUGACAUCAUUUUUGGUGCAUUGCAGUAGUGGCAAGGGGAGGAAUGUCGGACUAGGGAGAUGGAAAGGAACUGCAGUCGGAUUUUAUGGAAGAAUGCUUCAAACAAAAGUUCUUUUUAGAAGAAUGUAGUGAUCCAGAUUGCUACAUGGCUCAGAGAGGUGUGAAGGAUCAGGGAAGUACCCAGUGUGGAAGGAAAACAACUUGGAGAUGCUCAUAAUCUAAAAAUAAGACAACGAGGAUGGCGAAAUGAGCGUUGGGGAAUUAGCAAUUCCAUUUUCAAAGUAAGGAGAUUUUUCCACCUCUUGGAUUGAAUGCACAAUUAAAAUUCCACAAUCCUCUCAAGGCUCAUUUGGGAAAAAGAAAAAAAGCUGUCAGGGUUUUAGACCCAGAUUUGAACAUUACACCUAUCAUUCUGACUUUCUUUUUAUUCUCGAAGUGGAGAUCAAACCUGACCACCACCUGGGAAAAUAUUUAUUUUUUUCAAUAAAGCCAAACAGCCAUAAUUAGCCAUUAAUGGAGCUAAUAAAAAAUGUCAUUGACAUGAUAC
Molecule: long non-coding RNA, 1447 nt
Filed under: Ornithorhynchus anatinus (platypus)
Lineage: Eukaryota; Metazoa; Chordata; Mammalia; Monotremata; Ornithorhynchidae
Description: lncRNA (ENSOANG00000041302.1)
Source: RNAcentral